This 444-nucleotide ribosomal RNA is filed under the name uncultured bacterium. RNAcentral's name for it is "bacterial SSU rRNA". It matches the Rfam family "Bacterial small subunit ribosomal RNA", at positions 338 to 795 of the family's 1533-position model. The record is from RNAcentral.
CCUACGGGGGGCUGCAGUCGAGAAUAUUCCACAAUGGACGAAAGUCUGAUGGAGCGACGCCGCGUGCGGGAUGAAGGCCUUCGGGUUGUAAACCGCUUUUCUACGGGAAGAAUUACGAUGACGGUACCGUAGGAAUAAGAGGUUACUAACUCUGUGCCAGCAGUAGCGGUAAUACAGAGACCUCAAGCGUUAUCCGGAUUUAUUGGGCGUAAAGCGUAAGUAGGCGGUCUCGUUAGUCGGGCGUCAAAGCUCGGGGCUCAACCCCGAAAGGGCGUUCGAAACGGCGAGACUAGAGAGUGUGAGAGAUUGAUGGAAUUCAUGGUGUAGUAGUGAAAUGCGUUGAUAUCAUGAGGAACACCCAAGGCGUAGGCAAUCAAUUGGCACAUUUCUGACGCUCAGUUACGAAAGCGUGGGUAGCGAAUGGGAUUAGAUACCCCUGUAGUC